AGUACAAUCCUGAUCGUCAUACGAACAUAAAAUCGAGAAACUCUAUCAAAAAUUCAGAAGUUAUUCAAAUUUGUUAGAAAUGGGGUUCUAUCUGAGAGUGAUAACUUUAUUGAUGGUUGCGAUGAUUUACGUACAAGGUGGCUUCUUGUAUGGACAGCCAUGCACAAUACGCAACACUGCAUAUUUGAGAGUUGGUGAAUGGAGUUUACCUACCAAUGACACUAAAUGUGUUGAUGUUACUGGUUUCAAGAUGAAUUUACAUGGUCGAAUCAACUUAGCAAAUUACACCAAAUUCUUCGAGGAAGUUGAAGGGGCUGAUACUCUAUAUGCGGAUCACUUGAAUUUAACUCAUUUCCCUAUAAUGAUUGUCAAGUCACUUCCAAAUGUCGAAACCAUUGAUCUCUCAGGAAACAGAAUCAAACUAAUUCCACCCAAAAUGUUCAAACUUGCACCGAAAAUUCAAAAACUGCUACUUGAUGACAACAGAAUUGUGAUACCCAGAAGAAAACCAUUAAUAUCUUCUCAUUCCUUGAAAACCUUAAUGCUGAGUAAUAAUAAUAUUGCAUUUAUCUAUCAAAGUACUUUCAGUAAAUUACCCAGUUUGGAAGUAUUAUAUUUGGAUAAUAAUAAUAUUCAGGAUAUAAGUCCAUUGUUCAGAAAAAUGCCUAAUUUAAAAUUCUUGCAUGUGGGACGAAAUGUAUUGAAUUAUAUACCGGCAAAACAAAAUAUUUCCGAUUCUCUUAUCAGUUUUAUAACUAAAUCACAGAAAACAUUAUUGCACUGAAGAAUUUUAUUUUAAACAGUAAAUAUGAACUAACUUUUUAUUUCGAUGGUACUGUUCCAAAUGUAAAUGGGUCGUAUUCAUAAAAAAUAACUAUUUCGUUCGAACUAAAAGGUUUUACUACAAUUAGUAUUUAUAUACUCCUCCUUUCCCGCAAGGUACACGGUGACUGGCGGCAAAAUUAUCAUUUCAAUAUAAAAUCAAAGGAUAAAUAUUUGAGAUAUCGUUUUAAUAAAGAUAAUAAGAAAAGUAAAGAUGAGGAUUGCACUUUUUAAAGAUGAUGUCAUCCAAAUGUCUUCCAUCAAGUUGCACGAAAUGUUCGAAAUAGAGUCGCCUCAAAUUUUGCUGUACAUUCUACAGUAGGGUUGAUUGAAUUGCGUUGAUUUAUUAACAAAUGUUGCAUUUUAUAUUCAUAAAAGCUCACGAAUUGUUACUCAAAACUCUUUAUUUCCAUGGGAAGCAAGUUGGGUGACUUUGGUGGCCACAGGAUGUCUCCAAAUAGACUAAUCAAGUCCUAGCCGUGUGUGAGGCCACACCAUUCUGUUGGAACCACGUCUGUGAUAAGUAUGAUAGAUAAGCUUACAGGUUCAGCAAAAUAAAAAUUCCGUGAUCAUAUGCCCUUAGUUAUCACCAUUCAAAUUUGUCGCCUGUCCUCGUGCGUUUUCCAUUCGUGGAUAAAGCACAGAAAAUAGUUACUCUGGGUAAUGCAAUAGUUUUUGGUGUUUCAGUCGAGUCAGACCAAAACCUGCAUUUCAGCUUAUUAACAUGGCCGUUUAAAUGAGUGUCUUCUUUGUCGCUCCAAAAAAUGGAAUAAACAGUUCGAAAACGCUACAACAUUAAAUUCUACAAGUUUAAUGUUCUCAAGGGUUCGGAGAUCCCCUCAGAUCGUCUAGGCAUAUACCGAAUAGUGUUCAUAGCCGAAGCAAUUGCUCGAAACCUCUGGUCCCAGGAAUGAAUUGAGCUUGAAUUUGGUUCGUUCCUCAAUCUUCUGAUACCAAAUUCAGAACAAAACGAAAGAAGAAUUACUCUUGAAAAACGUCUCGACUGCGAAUGCACGAUGUUCAUUGGCCAAUACAUUAAUAUGAUUCCAAUAUCACCUCCCCCGCACCAUUUAUAACUUUUCAAAUAAUCGUAUAUAAAUCUGCCACCAGAUUGCUCUGUACUUAUUGCUUCCUUGUGAUAAUGAAAAUAAGUUAAGCCUUCAAAGUUCAAGACUCCUCAAAUAUUCCCGAGAAACCUCAAGAACUAGCUAUGGAAGGCAAUAAACAGGUGCAUUAGCUGAAAUCAUACGAAAUAUUCAACUUUGUUUGGUAGAAAAAACAAAAGUUCUAAUUGUAAUGUUUCUAUUUUUGUGAAAUAUUUGUCAAUCACAAAACGGUGGGAUGAAUUUAUAAACACGAUGUAUCUAGCUCACGUUUUUUUAUACUUAUUUGUACAAUAACCAUACACUGUUCGGUUCACGUAUGUAUUCACUUGUCACCGUCUUGACGUAAUCGCGAUGACAUCAAAUUGCUUACUAACUACGACUUCUACAGCUCCGCUUUCUAUUUUAGAAUCAUAUCUAGAACUUUCGAAUUAUCGAAAUCUCAAGACUGCCGUGAUAAACAAACAAGUCUUCGUAGUAGUCGGUGCAUGCGCCAAACAAGACCGGCUUCACGGUCUAUAUCACUGGAUUGGAAGUUCAUAAUAUUAUGAAAUUCUAACCUUCAUUCAUUCUGUGAGUUGUACAAAGUGCCUCAUCCUUUUAUAACCGUGAAAAGUCAUUUUAUUUUUUAUUAAGGAUAAUUUUCCACUUUUUAGGUUAUUUUACUAUGAAUGCAUGUUAUGCAUACCAAGUCGUCUUAUGAAUUAUUUCGUAAUUUAAUGAACUCAUGUAACGAUUCAUCGUUAGCUGGGAGUUUGCCUAUUAAUUAUAAGUUCAUCCAUUCGUGUACCUUCUAAGGACCUUACGCGACUAAUGCCUGGUUUCUCCACAUCCCUAAUAAAGUCCCUCCUAUCUAUUAUUUACCGAUUAAAAAAAAAUUGAUUUAUUCAUUUUCUUAAAAAUUAAACCUUCGAAUAAAUCGAGUUAUUUGCCAAAUAAUUUAUUAGGUAGUCACAACUGUCAAUUAAAGAUUUUAGUAGAAACUUAACCUAAAAUACUUAUACAUCGAAAUUGGUUUAUUUGUAUAUUAUACCUAUAAUUGAUUAGUUUAUUUUUGGAAGUAUUUAACAUACAAAUAAUUAAAUAUUCAAUAUGGAUGCUUUCCAAGAUUUAGAAGAUUUGUUCGAUGAGGAAAUGAUUAAGGAAAUACAGUAAUUUCCAAAAGAACGAGCUUAUUCUGUUCGUAAAAUUGAUCAUUACAAUUUUUUGGGCGCUGAUGAAAUUUUUUCACCGUUCUCUUUUUCCUUUCCUAUCAAUUAUUUUCAAUAUAAACUAUAAUUUUCAGACCAACACAACUCUCUCCAACUAGCGACUACUUCAACAUUAACCUAAACAAAACACGUGCAAAUAUACUUAAGCAGAGAUCGUUGUUACAACACAGAUAAUAGGAAAUCGUCCAUAGAAGAAAUUUUUUUCCCUUAUUUCUUUCCUUAUUCAAUACAUGUCAAUAUAUAGACAUCUUUUAUACGUUUGCCAAUAAUGAAGUGACAAAUACUUAUUAGUUAGUUUAGAUUUAAACCAAUAAGGAGGAAGAAACGGUAAACGUUCAUUCGACAAAUAAUAGUCCCAACUAAAUUAAUGUGGCUAAUAAGUAUUUGGCACUUUAUUAGAACAUGAAGAAACCGGUCCUAAGUGUUAUUGUGUGAGGUUGUUUAUUUGCAAACAGCCGAAACCCUAAACAAACAAUACUUUGCAUAUUGUGAACGGAAGAUACCCAACUCCGAAUUACAAUUCUCAAUCCUCCAUUUUCCAUUUCCUGAUUAUUCAUUAUGCUAUUGAAUUUUUCGCACUGUCGGUAUAGUAGACUUUUUAUAGGUCGCGUCUCCUGAUUCUAAUAGGAACAAUGAACAAAAUGAUUGAAUUUUUGUUGUGAUACGUAUGUGAAAUUUUUAAUUCAUUCCAAAGAUUGAAGUGGGUGAAAAAUUGCUUUCAGAAACAUAAUAAUCACGUGAUGCUGACAAAUAUAAUAAUAGGAAUUUAAUGUACAAAAUUUCAAAUAAUAUUUAAAUAUCAUCUCCACACUGUAUAGGGACCCUUGUUUGAGAUUGUUUCCAUUGUCAGAUCGGAAAUUAAGUUACUACGAUAUUCAGUGAUGUGGGAAAAUAUUUUGAUUGUUUUUGUGUAGAUCUGAAUUUUAUAUUUUGUGAGGUAAAUUUGGUUUAUUUUACAUGAACUGAAUAUCCUGAAUUUGAAUUUAUAUUGAGCCAUAUAUAAACUGAAAUGUAGGAAUACACUUAGCACGGAUUUUCUUAUUAAGUAACUGCAUCAUACUAGCCGUAGCAAACACAACACUGGGAUCAAACAAUCAAAGAUCAUUUAUAUUAAGUUAUCCAGAGGAACCAAAACCACUAGCCGUUUCAUACUCCCUUCAGUUUUAGAACGUUUUUCUAUGUUUUUUGAUGCAAAGAAUCGAUUUUCCAAGGGUUCUGGGCCAAAAUCUGGUCGAAUAAUUUGUUAUAAAUAAUUUAAUUGUUUAUAAAGCUAUAACUCUAAACUAUAACAAAGAGAGAUAUAAAAAUUUAAAUUAAAUAAUAUUUGCUUCACGAUCUACAGUUUUUUGCACAAAAUCAAAAUUUAAAAUGUUAUCGUGAAUAUAAUACAAAAUUAUUCCAAAAUUGACGUUUUUCUCAUUUUACAGUAAUAACUUGGUUCCUACACGACGUAGGAAGAUUCAAAGCUUCAAAAUGAGAUGUGAUGGAGUUUUUAAACAUUAUUUGUUAAAAAGUUACAGAAGUUUGAAUGUACAAAUUUUCACGAAAAAAAGCGCCGUAAUUUGUUUAUAAGUGUUUUAAUAGUAUAUAAAAAUAAAAAAAAAAACACGGAAUGCACCUUAUAGUAGCUUAAAGUGCUAAUAAAUACGAACAUUUUGACCACUUUAACAGGGCGAUUAGAGGCUAAAGUGCGUUUCCACGAUCUGAGGUGCUCCCGCGAUUAUUUCUUUACAGUAACUUUAUUGAAGUUGAUUUUUUAUGAUCUAAAAAUAUAUUAAUAUUUAUGUUCAUUAUUUCAUUAUUUCAUUGCACCUUACAAAUAUCUAUUUUUUAUUUAUAAAACAAGCUAAUAAAUUUAAUAGUUUUAAUCGUUUGUUGUAUCAAAAUCUUAAAACAUAUCAGAUUAUUACUUAUAUGGACGUGUUAGCAAUACUUUUUUGGAAGUAAAACUAUAUGGAAUCGCUGCCAACGUCAAAUUCUAUCAGAUACCAUAUUUUCAGAGCUUUCUAUGCUACUUACGAGCAAAUUAACAUUUCAAAAUUAUAGCAUAACAAAUAAAACUAUAAAAAUAUAUAAAUAAAAAAUAUUAGAUGAUAGAUUAUUGAUUAUAUUGAUAUUAGAGAUAGAUGAAAUUAUUUUAGUUCUAAAAAAAGCUUCACUGUACCCACUAGUUCAUGAAUUGUCACCAAAUUGUAAUUGCAUGAAUUGAAAAUACUGAAUAUGAUUGAAAAUACAUAUUGGUACUUAAAUGUUUAUCUUAAUCUUCGUCGAAACAAGUUUUAAAAAAGGUAAGGUGCAAUAAAAUAAUGAAAUAAUAAAUAUAUUUUAAUAUUAAUAUAUUUUGGAGACCAUAAAAAAUUAACUUCAAUUAAGUUAUUGUAAAGAAAUAAUCGCAGGCGCGUAUUUUAGCCUCUGAUCGCGCACCUCCAUAGCUUUAAAACUAAGGGCCGAAAACAUAGUUGGAAGAUGUCAAAAUGUUUAUAUUGAUUAGCACUUUAAGCUACUAUGAGGUGCAUCUCGUUUUUUGUCAAAUUCAUAUACUCUUAAAAUAAUUACAAACAAAUUACGCUGAUUUUUUUCAUGAAACGCUUUAAAUCUUUCUACGUCGUGUGGGACUAAGUAAUGACCUAUAAAGUGGAAACAAAACGUUGAUUUUGCAAUAAUUUAACAUUAUAUUGACGAUAACUUUAUAAAUACUGAUUUUUUACAAAAAAUUGUGAAAACGUUUCUUGUAGAUCUAUUCAAAACAAAAAUUUUUCAUUUGAAACUUUUUUCAUAUAUCUCUUUGAUCAAAAGUUAUAGCUUUAUAAACAAUUAAAUUGUUGGAAAUAGGAAAACGCUCUAAAGUUGACGGGACUAUGAACGGCUACUUCUACUUCUAAUUUCCACGUUGGGGUUUGAUGACCUGUUCUUUUAUCUCAAUUUGCUUCAUAUAGAGGUAAAUUCUUCGGUUUUUGAUUAUAUGAAUAGGACGUAAAAGAGCUGACAGCUGUAUAACCUCUUUUUCCACUUGUUUUAUGUAUGUACAAAGAAUUUGCUUUAAUAUUUUAAAAAAUAGUGUCUUUUGUAGAUGCGGCCUAGUGAAAUCAUAUCAUUCAAUAAUCGUUUUGUAUUGUCACUUUACUCGCAUUAUUCCAUGUAUUUUUCAAUGUGAACAUUUUAUUGAAAUAUAAUUUUAAAAAAAUAGCAGAUAGACUGUUAUGAAUGUAUUAUUGUACUAAUGUAUAAUAGAAAGUAGAAUAAAAAAAAAUCAGAUUCAUAAAUAAUGUUAAUUGAAAAAAAAACAAUAAACUAAUGAAUAAUA
This is a long non-coding RNA of Diorhabda carinulata, 6440 nucleotides long. RefSeq lists it as uncharacterized. Lineage: Eukaryota; Metazoa; Arthropoda; Insecta; Coleoptera; Chrysomelidae. The transcript has 2 exons. The record is from RefSeq and is a predicted model, not a curated record.